CUAAAAUUGAUAGAAUUUAGAUGUCUUUUAUACAAGUCCUUCAAAUUCUGGUUCUUUGGCUAGAACUCAGACUUGCUUUGCUGCUCCUCUACUGAGAGUUCUAUUUUGAAAAGCCCCAUAUGUCUUGAUGUGGGUGUGGAACUGUGGAAUCUUCUGGUAAGAAGGCACUUUGGGAACAGCAGAACAAGCCUGUGCUCUUAUAUGGAGAACUUCCUGGUAGAUUAGGAGCAACAUACAGUUGUGCGUGUCUAGGGACUAUCUGGGUAGCUGCUGCCUCACAUUGGUGGCUUCUUGUCCCUACUGCUGAGCAUUGUCACUGUUAUAUUUUUGCUUCUUUGUUUUUUGGUGGGUUUUUUUUUGUUUGUUUGUUUGUUUUGUUUUGAGGUGCAGGAAUCAAACGCAAGACCUUAUGUAUACUAAGCAAGUUCUCUACCACUGAGCUACAUUUCGGC
Molecule: long non-coding RNA, 452 nt
Filed under: Marmota monax (woodchuck)
Lineage: Eukaryota; Metazoa; Chordata; Mammalia; Rodentia; Sciuridae
Source: RNAcentral